UUCGGGUAGGCUCUGAGGGAUGCUUAAUACCUUCUCUUCGAGUAACCAAAACUCUUACUUAGAAUCUCACUGAUUUCGCAAAUUAAAACAGAGUUUACAUUUACAUAUUUAAAAAAUGAUUUUCCUAAUAUUUUUCCUUAAAAUUAGGGGGCGACUCUAAACAACUUUCAAAAUCAGAGUGACAACCAUAUUAUGUUACGAACUAUUUUGACUAGUUAGAAAUAGGGUGCGAUAGUCACGAGAGGCAAUUUCAAAGUAUUUGUUAUGUCAAUUACUCUAGCAGCAAAACAGUUUCAUAUUGGGUUGACACUUUUGAAGAAUAGAUGUAGGGAUUAGUCUUCAAAUACUAAUCAACAAUGUUAAGGUUAAUCACUCUCUCUCUACAAAACUUAAUUAGUUGUUUCCAUUAAUUAAUUCUUUUCUUGUAGUAUUCAUAUAAUUAUGAUGGUUGAUUUGAUGGUGUAUAUAUAUGCAUAAUAUAUGAUACUAAUAGUGUAUAUUUGAAGGAAUUGGAGAAGGGAGUUGGAAAUGGGAUGGAAGAAAAGUUGAAGGAUGUGAUUAAGGUAUUAAAGAGAAAAAGAAGAUGGAGGAAAUACUAGACAUUAAACUUGAGGAGAAAACAAAGAGAUUGAGGCAAGCAUACUUUAAGGUUAAUUACAAGAGGAGAAGGC
This 671-nucleotide long non-coding RNA is filed under the name Solanum tuberosum (potato). RNAcentral's name for it is "long non-coding RNA (STUB_LNC005626)". Lineage: Eukaryota; Viridiplantae; Streptophyta; Magnoliopsida; Solanales; Solanaceae. The record is from RNAcentral.